This 500-nucleotide ribosomal RNA is filed under the name uncultured Glomeromycotina. RNAcentral describes it as "partial small subunit ribosomal RNA". It matches the Rfam family "Eukaryotic small subunit ribosomal RNA", at positions 591 to 1092 of the family's 1831-position model. The record is from RNAcentral. Lineage: Eukaryota; Fungi; Glomeromycota.
CCAAUAGCGUAUAUUAAAGUUGUUGCAGUUAAAAAGCUCGUAGUUGAAUUUCGGGGUCAGUAGGCUGGUCAUGCCACUGGUAUGUACUGGUCUCACUGAUUCCUCCUUCCUGAUGAACUGUAAUGCCAUUAAUUUGGUGUUGCAGGGAAUCUGGACUGUUACUUUGAAAAAAUUAGAGUGUUUAAAGCAGGCUAACGCCUGAAUACAUUAGCAUGGAAUAAUGAAAUAGGACGUUCGAUCCUAUUUUGUUGGUUUCUAGGAUUAACGUAAUGAUUAAUAGGGAUAGUUGGGGGCAUUAGUAUUAAAUUGUCAGAGGUGAAAUUCUUGGAUUUAUUGAAGACUAACUACUGCGAAAGCAUUUGCCAAGGAUGUUUUCAUUAAUCGAGAACGAAAGUUAGGGGAUCGAAGACGAUCAGAUACCGUCGUAGUCUUAACCAUAAACUAUGCCGACUAGGGAUCGGAUGAUGUUAAUUUUUUAAUGACUCAUUCGGCGCCUUACG